RNAcentral lists this long non-coding RNA (1559 nucleotides) under Mus musculus (house mouse). RNAcentral describes it as "long non-coding RNA chr2:91070063-91071622". Lineage: Eukaryota; Metazoa; Chordata; Mammalia; Rodentia; Muridae. The record is from RNAcentral.
UCCUAAACUGAGGACGAGUCGCGACAGGUUUGGGAACUGACACGGUCCAUCCCGCCCCGGACGCCGGCCUGAGGGUCCAGCGAUCACUCACCGCGCAGUGGCAGAGGUGGCAGCGGCAGCAGAUGCAGCGCUCCGGGCGGGCCCGGCCAUCCAGCUGCAGUGUCGCGCCCCGCCCCGCUCUGCCUCGCCCGGCCCCACCACUAGGCCCCCAGCCCGGAGCCACCCCCGGCGUGCAGCCACGUCACACGGGACAGUCCGGAACCCGACGCGCGCGGCUCCGGGGGGCUAGACGGAGCGACGGCGGGGGAGGCGCUUCCGCCUCAUACCAUGGGGGACCCGCGCGGUCAGCGCACUUCCGCUCGGGGCGGAUUCUGGGGCUGCGGGGAGAGUAGGACGGAAGUGGGUACCCUCGUGGGCAUCGCGUUUAGCCAAGUUAAGCUAGGGUGAGGGCGGCACCCACGCGGGAACCGGGAUCAACAGGGCGGCGGGGCUUCAGUGUGGCGUCCUUCUGAGGAUGCAGUUCCAGCAGUGGCCACACGGGGGCGCGCACGGCUGCCAAACCGCUCCGUCCCGGGACGAGAGCAGGGCUAUGGCUCUCUGAGUCAGCAGGCCUGGCUCCUCCAUGAGCUAGGGAAAGGGGAAGUGCCUGCCGCAAGGAGGGGCCUGGCUCUGGGUACCUCAGAAGAGGGAAUUUUAUUCUUACUCAUCGAAUUAUUUUUAUGCUUUGGUUUUUCACUUGGAACCUCAGGCCACCGUCUCCAGGACUGUAACCCUUUGAAGUCCAGUACACGUUUCUAGAGCCUGUGCCCUGGAAUUUCAAGCCAGGAUACAACAAAGGACUUGGUGUUCUCUUACCCUGACAAAGCUGUACCUGAACUCUUAGACCGAAGGAGCAGUUAGUGGCAAUAACAAUGGCUACAGUUCUCUGAUCUAGGGUAGCCCUUUACUGACCAUUUACUCAGUAAUCAGUGUUAACUUUACCAAAUCGUUUUUAUCUUUCAGGUGGGUACUGACUGUUGACCUAGGGUCAGACAUAUGUCACACAUAUGGCAGAGGCGGAAUUCAACUUGGAUGUACCUCUCCCUAGGGCGUGCGAUGGCCACCUCAUGUCUAAGCUGGAGCUAAGGUGUGGAUGUGGCCUAACACCCCCCACUCCUUUGCGAUCCGAUACAUGUUUGCAUCCUUCUCUGGGAAUCAGCCAGUAACUGACAUGGAAGACAUUCAGCAGAGGCCGAAUGAGUGCUCCCCUGGGCUGGCUGUGACAGAGUGAGGGGCUCAUUAGUCCUCACCUACCAUUGCGGCUCUCUAUGGUCCCUUGUUCCUUCUGGGCGCUCCGAGAGCAGACCGAACUCACACAUCACAGUUGAUGCCCUACCUCACAGUGUGUGUUUGUGUGUGUGGUUGUUGUUGUUGUUGUCGUUUUACUUUGAGAUUGGUUCUAUGUAGCCCUAACCCCCUGCCUGUUCUGGAACUUUCUAUGUAGAUGUGGCUGACUUUGAACCUACAGAGAUCUGCCUACUUCUACCUCCUCAGUGCUAGAAUUAAAUACGUGUGCCACC